AUUGAACGCUGGCGGCAUGCCUUACACAUGCAAGUCGAACGGCAGCACGGGAGCAAUCCUGGUGGCGAGUGGCGAACGGGUGAGUAAAGUAUCGGAACGUGCCCAGUCGUGGGGGAUAACGUAGCGAAAGUUACGCUAAUACCGCAUACGAUCUAUGGAUGAAAGCGGGGGAUCGCAAGACCUCGCGCGAUUGGAGCGGCCGAUAUCAGAUUAGGUAGUUGGUGGGGUAAAGGCUCACCAAGCCGACGAUCUGUAGCUGGUCUGAGAGGACGAUCAGCCACACUGGGACUGAGACACGGCCCAGAUUCUUACGGGAGGCAGCAGUGGGGAAUUUUGGACAAUGGGCGAAAGCCUGAUCCAGCCAUGCCGCGUGCAGGAUGAAGGCCUUCGGGUUGUAAACUGCCUUUGUACGGAACGAAAAGGUUUGGCCUAAUAAGCUGAGCUCAUGACGGUACCGUAAGAAUAAGCACCGGCUAACUACGUGCCAGCAGCCGCCGUAA
This 500-nucleotide ribosomal RNA is filed under the name uncultured bacterium. RNAcentral describes it as "partial 16S ribosomal RNA". It matches the Rfam family "Bacterial small subunit ribosomal RNA", at positions 30 to 523 of the family's 1533-position model. The record is from RNAcentral.